This 380-nucleotide ribosomal RNA is filed under the name uncultured eukaryote. Its description in RNAcentral is "partial 18S ribosomal RNA". It matches the Rfam family "Eukaryotic small subunit ribosomal RNA", at positions 592 to 976 of the family's 1831-position model. The record is from RNAcentral.
CAAUAGCGUAUAUUAAAGUUGUUGCGGUUAAAAAGCUCGUAGUUGGAUUUCUGUUGGGAACGACCGGUCCGCCCAUUGGGUGUGUAUCUGGCUUGUUCUCGGCAUCUUCUUGGUGAACGUUGCUGCACUUGACUGUGUGGAGCGCUACCCAGGACUUUUACUUUGAGGAAAUUAGAGUGUUUCAAGCAGGCAUAUGCCUUGAAUACAUUAGCAUGGAAUAAUAAGAUAGGACCUCGGUUCUAUUUUGUUGGUUUCUAGAGCUGAGGUAAUGAUUAAUAGGGAUAGUUGGGGGCAUUCGUAUUUAACUGUCAGAGGUGAAUUUCUUGGAUUUGUUAAAGACGGACUACUGCGAAAGCAUUUGCCAAGGAUGUUUUCAUUGA